RNAcentral lists this ribosomal RNA (402 nucleotides) under Verrucomicrobiota bacterium. RNAcentral describes it as "Verrucomicrobia bacterium partial 16S ribosomal RNA". It matches the Rfam family "Bacterial small subunit ribosomal RNA", at positions 355 to 776 of the family's 1533-position model. The record is from RNAcentral. Lineage: Bacteria; Pseudomonadati; Verrucomicrobiota.
UGGGGAAUUUUGCACAAUGGGGGAAACCCUGAUGCAGCGACGCCGCGUGAUUUAGAAGGCCUUCGGGUUGUAAAAAUCUUUUUUAUGGGAUGAAAAUGACAGUACCAUAAGAAAAAGCCCCGGCUAACUACGUGCCAGCAGCCGCGGUAAUACGUAGGGGGCUAGCGUUGUCCGGAAUCACUGGGCGUAAAGGGUUCGCAGGCGGAAAUGCAAGUCAGGUGUAAAAGGCAGUAGCUUAACUACUGUAAGCAUUUGAAACUGCAUAUCUUGAGAAGAGUAGAGGUAAGUGGAAUUUUUAGUGUAGCGGUGAAAUGCGUAGAUAUUAAAAAGAAUACCGGUGGCGAAGGCGACUUACUGGGCUCAUUCUGACGCUGAGGAACGAAAGCGUGGGUAGCAAACAGG